RNAcentral lists this ribosomal RNA (435 nucleotides) under uncultured bacterium. Its description in RNAcentral is "partial 16S ribosomal RNA". It matches the Rfam family "Bacterial small subunit ribosomal RNA", at positions 28 to 507 of the family's 1533-position model. The record is from RNAcentral.
GAUGAACGCUGGCGGUAUGCUUAACACAUGCAAGUCGAACGGACUCUUCGGAGUUAGUGGCGGACGGGUGAGUAACGCGUGAGAAUCUGGCUUUGGGUUCGGGACAACCACUGGAAACGGUGGCUAAUACCGGAUGUGCCGAGAGGUAAAAGAGAAAUUGCCUGAAGAUGAGCUCGCGUCUGAUUAGCUAGUUGGUGAGGUAAAGGCUCACCAAGGCAGCGAUCAGUAGCUAGUCUGAGAGGAUGACCAGCCACACUGGGACUGAGACACGGCCCAGACUCCUACGGGAGGCAGCAGUGGGGAAUUUUCCGCAAUGGGCGAAAGGCUGCCGGAGCAAUACCGCGUGAGGGAAGAAGGCUCUUGGGUUGUAAACCUCUUUUCUUAGGGAAGAACAAAAUGACGGUACCUAAGGAAUCAGCAUCGGCUAACUACGUG